GCCGGCAGCUAGCUCUCUGCAACUCUCACAUGGUCACCCACUGAAGCUAAGCAGGGCUGCGCAGGGCAGUACCUGGAUGGGAGACCACAUGGGAAAGCUAGGUUGCUGCUGGAA
Molecule: non-coding RNA, 114 nt
Organism: Danio rerio (zebrafish)
Lineage: Eukaryota; Metazoa; Chordata; Actinopteri; Cypriniformes; Danionidae
Source: Rfam